This 407-nucleotide ribosomal RNA is filed under the name uncultured bacterium. Its description in RNAcentral is "partial 16S ribosomal RNA". It matches the Rfam family "Bacterial small subunit ribosomal RNA", at positions 28 to 526 of the family's 1533-position model. The record is from RNAcentral.
GACGAACGCUGGCGGCGUGCCUAAUACAUGCAAGUAGAACGCAGUUGCGAACGGGUGAGUAACGCGUAGGUAACUGCCUCAUAGCGGGGGAUAACUAUUGGAAACGAUAGCUAAUACCGCAUACUGUGAGAUGGACCUGCGUUGUAUUAGCUAGUUGGUGAGGGAAAGGCUCACCAAGGCGACCAUACAUAGCCGACCUGAGAGGGUGGUCGGGCAAACGUGGAACUAGGCAAGGCCCAGGCUCCUACGGGAGGCAGGAGGAGGGGAUUUUCGGCAAAGGACGGAAGUCUUGCCGAACAAAGCCGCGGGAGUGGAGGAGGUUUUCGGAGUGGAAAGCUCUGUUGUUAGGGAAGCGGUAACUAACCAAAAAGGGACGGCUAACUACGUGCCAGCAGCCGCGGUAAUAC